UACGUAGGGACCGAGCGUUGUCCGGAUUCAUUGGGCGUAAAGAGCUCGUAGGCGGCUGUUCAAGUCGAACGUGAAAACUCGGAGCUCAACUCCGAGCCUGCGUUCGAUACUGGACGGCUAGAGUCUGGUAGGGGGAUCUGGAAUUCCUGGUGUAGCGGUGGAAUGCGCAGAUAUCAAGAGGAACACCUGAGGUGAAGACGGGUUGCUGGGCCGACACUGACGCUGACAGCGCGAAAGCCAGGGGAGCAAACGGG
This 254-nucleotide ribosomal RNA is filed under the name uncultured bacterium. RNAcentral describes it as "partial 16S ribosomal RNA". It matches the Rfam family "Bacterial small subunit ribosomal RNA", at positions 524 to 776 of the family's 1533-position model. The record is from RNAcentral.